GACGAACGCUGGCGGCGUGCCUAAUACAUGCAAGUCGAGCGGAUUUGUCCCUUCGGGGAUAAGUUAGCGGCGGACGGGUGAGUAACACGUAGGUAACCUGCCUAUAAGACCGGGAUAACUAUCGGAAACGAUAGCUAAGACCGGAUAUCUGGUUUUCUCGCAUGAGAGAAUCAUGAAACACGGAGCAAUCUGUGGCUUAUAGAUGGGCCUGCGGCGCAUUAGCUAGUUGGUAGGGUAACGGCCUACCAAGGCGACGAUGCGUAGCCGACCUGAGAGGGUGAACGGCCAAACUGGGACUGAGACACGGCCCAGACUCCUACGGGAGGCAGCAGUAGGGAAUCUUCCGCAAUGGACGCAAGUCUGACGGAGCAACGCCGCGUGAGUGAUGAAGGUUUUCGGAUCGUAAAGCUCUGUUGCCCUAGACGAACAGCAAGAGGAGUAACUGCCUUUUGUGUGACGGUAUAGGAGAAGAAAGCCCCGGCUAACUACGUGCCAGCAGCCGCAGUAA
Molecule: ribosomal RNA, 508 nt
Filed under: uncultured bacterium
Lineage: Bacteria
Description: partial 16S ribosomal RNA
Rfam family: Bacterial small subunit ribosomal RNA
Source: RNAcentral